GACGAACGCUGGCGGCGUGCUUAACACAUGCAAGUCGAGCGAUGAAGCUCCUUCGGGAGUGGAUUAGCGGCGGACGGGUGAGUAACACGUGGGUAACCUGCCUCAUAGAGGGGAAUAGCCUUUCGAAAGGAAGAUUAAUACCGCAUAAGAUUGUAGUACCGCAUGGUACAGCAAUUAAAGGAGUAAUCCGCUAUGAGAGGGGCCCGCGCCGGAUUAGGUAGUUGGUGGGGUAACGGCCUACCAAGCCGACGAUCCGUAGCUGGUCUGAGAGGAUGAUCAGCCACACUGGGACUGAGACACGGCCCAGACUCCUACGGGAGGCAGCAGUGGGGAAUAUUGGACAAUGGGCGCAAGCCUGAUCCAGCAAUGCCGCGUGAGUGAUGAAGGCCUUAGGGUUGUAAAGCUCUUUCGCACGCGACGAUGAUGACGGUAGCGUGAGAAGAAGCCCCGGCUAACUCGUGCCAGCAGCC
Molecule: ribosomal RNA, 470 nt
Filed under: uncultured bacterium
Lineage: Bacteria
Description: bacterial SSU rRNA
Rfam family: Bacterial small subunit ribosomal RNA
Source: RNAcentral